Molecule: transfer RNA, 76 nt
Filed under: Candidatus Woesearchaeota archaeon CG10_big_fil_rev_8_21_14_0_10_44_13
Lineage: Archaea; Nanobdellati; Candidatus Woesearchaeota
Description: tRNA-Phe
Rfam family: tRNA
About the family: Transfer RNA (tRNA) molecules are approximately 80 nucleotides in length. Their secondary structure includes four short double-helical elements and three loops (D, anti-codon, and T loops).
Source: RNAcentral
GGGGCAGUAGCUCAAUCCGGGAGAGCACUACGCUGAAGACGUAGUUGUUGUGGGUUCAAAUCAGCAAAGUGAUGCU